GAUGAAGAACGUAGCGAAAUGCGAUAAGUAAUGUGAAUUGCAGAAUUUAGUGAAUCAUCGAAUCUUUAAACGCACAUUGCGCCCUUUGGUAUUCCGAAGGGCAUGCCUGUUCGAGCGUCAUUAUAACCACUCAAGCCUUUGCUUGGUAUUGGGGUUCGCGGUCUCGCGGCCCCUAAAAUCAGUGGCGGUGCCUGUCGGCUCUACGCGUAGUAAUACUCCUCGCGAUUGAGACCGGUGGGUAGCUUGCCAACAACCCUAAUUUUCUCAGGUUGACCUCGGAUCAGGUAGGGAUACCCGCUGAACUUAAGCAUAUCAAUAAGCGGAGGA
RNAcentral lists this unclassified non-coding RNA (327 nucleotides) under soil metagenome. RNAcentral's name for it is "partial contains 5.8S ribosomal RNA, internal transcribed spacer 2, and large subunit ribosomal RNA". The stretch from base 1 to 120 matches the Rfam family "5.8S ribosomal RNA", at positions 35 to 154 of the family's 154-position model. The record is from RNAcentral.